AUGCUUGCUCUGGCAGCACAUAUACUAAAAUUGGAAUGAUACAGAGAAGAUUAACACGGCCCCUGCACAAGGAUUACACGCAAAUUUGUAAAGUGUUCCUUAUUUUU
Molecule: small nuclear RNA, 107 nt
Filed under: Carlito syrichta (Philippine tarsier)
Lineage: Eukaryota; Metazoa; Chordata; Mammalia; Primates; Tarsiidae
Source: RNAcentral